UAAUACGUAGGGGGCAAGCGUUAUCCGGAUUUACUGGGUGUAAAGGGAGCGCAGACGGAAAUGCAAGCCAGAUGUGAAAGCCCGGGGCUCACCCCCGGGACUGCAUUUGGAACUGCGUAUCUAGAGUACUGGAGAGGUAAGCGGAAUUCCUGGUGUAGCGGUGAAAUGCGUAGAUAUCAGGAAGAACACCGGUGGCGAAGGCGGCUUACUGGACAGAAACUGACGUUGAGGCACGAAAGCGUGGGUAUCGAACAGGAUUAGAUACCCUGGUAGUCCACGCCGUAAACGAUGAUGACUGGGUUUUUGGCAUCAAGUGUCAAGAGCCUGAGCGAAAGCGUUAAGUCAUCCACCUGGGGAGUACGUUCGCAAGUAUGAAACUCAAAGGAAUUGACGGGGGCCCGCACAAGCGGAGGAACAUGUGGUUUAAUUCGAUGAUACGCGAGGAACCUUACCCGGGUUCAAAUGCAGGCUGCAUAGGUCAGAGAUGAUCUUUUCAAGCAAUUGACCGCCUGCAAGGUGCUGCAUGGUUGUCGUCA
Molecule: ribosomal RNA, 536 nt
Filed under: uncultured bacterium
Lineage: Bacteria
Description: bacterial SSU rRNA
Rfam family: Bacterial small subunit ribosomal RNA
Source: RNAcentral